CCUACGGGAGGCUGCAGUGGGGAAUAUUGCGCAAUGGGCGAAAGCCUGACGCAGCGACGCCGCGUGAGGGAUGAAGGUCUUCGGGUCGUAAACCUCUGUCAGCAGGGAAGAACGGUCCCUGUUCUACUCAGCCGUGAAUUGACGGUACCUACAAAGGAAGCACCGGCUAACUCCGUGCCAGCAGCCGCGGUAAUACGGGGGGUGCGAGCGUUAAUCGGAAUAACUGGGCGUAAAGCGCUCGUAGGCGGUAUGUCAAGUCAAGGGUGAAAGCCCCGGGCUCAACGUGGGAACUGCAUUUGAAACUGGGAAACUGGAGUGUGUGAGAGGAGAGUGGAAGUCCAGGUGUAGGAGUGAAAUCCGUAGAUAUCUGGAGGAACAUCAGUGGCGAAGGCGACUAUCUGGAACAUAACUGACGCUGAGGAGCGAAAGCGUGGGUAGCAAACAGGAUUAGAUACCCGGGUAGUC
Molecule: ribosomal RNA, 465 nt
Filed under: uncultured bacterium
Lineage: Bacteria
Description: partial 16S ribosomal RNA
Rfam family: Bacterial small subunit ribosomal RNA
Source: RNAcentral